GAUCAUGGCUCAGGAUGAACGCUAGCUACAGGCUUAACACAUGCAAGUCGAGGGGCAGCAUGAACUUAGCUUGCUAAGUUUGAUGGCGACCGGCGCACGGGUGAGUAACACGUAUCCAACCUGCCGAUGACUCGGGGAUAGCCUUUCGAAAGAAAGAUUAAUACCCGAUGGCAUAGUUCUUCCGCAUGGUGGAACUAUUAAAGAUUUAUCGGUGAUGGAUGGGGAUGCGU
Molecule: ribosomal RNA, 230 nt
Filed under: uncultured bacterium
Lineage: Bacteria
Description: partial 16S ribosomal RNA
Rfam family: Bacterial small subunit ribosomal RNA
Source: RNAcentral